UCCCUGAUAGCUCAGUCAGUAAAGAAUCUGCCUGCAAUGCAGGAGAUCCUGGUUUGAUUCCUGGGUUGGGAA
RNAcentral lists this transfer RNA (72 nucleotides) under Bos taurus (domestic cattle). It matches the Rfam family "tRNA". Rfam says of the family: Transfer RNA (tRNA) molecules are approximately 80 nucleotides in length. Their secondary structure includes four short double-helical elements and three loops (D, anti-codon, and T loops). RNAcentral also lists the same sequence under 3 other names. Lineage: Eukaryota; Metazoa; Chordata; Mammalia; Artiodactyla; Bovidae. The record is from Rfam by way of RNAcentral.